UACGAAGGGAUCUAGCGUUGCUCGGAAUUACUGGGCGUAAAGCGCACGUAGGCGGUCUUUUAAGUCGGUGGUGAAAUCCUGGAGCUCAACUCCAGAACUGCCUUCGAUACUGGAAGACUUGAGUCCGGGAGAGGUGAGUGGAACUGCGAGUGUAGAGGUGAAAUUCGUAGAUAUUCGCAAGAACACCAGUGGCGAAGGCGGCUCACUGGCCCGGUACUGACGCUGAGACGCGAAAGCGUGGGGAGCGAACAGG
RNAcentral lists this ribosomal RNA (253 nucleotides) under uncultured bacterium. Its description in RNAcentral is "partial 16S ribosomal RNA". It matches the Rfam family "Bacterial small subunit ribosomal RNA", at positions 524 to 776 of the family's 1533-position model. The record is from RNAcentral.